Molecule: long non-coding RNA, 1050 nt
Filed under: Equus caballus (horse)
Lineage: Eukaryota; Metazoa; Chordata; Mammalia; Perissodactyla; Equidae
Description: lncRNA (ENSECAG00000059460.1)
Source: RNAcentral
GUACUAUGGGCGGGGGCAGGAAGAACAGGAAGGGUAAUGCCUCCUAAUUAAUCUGAGUUCUGUAAGGCAGGCCUCUCCCCGGAAUUCUGGAUGAUCAUAUCCAAUUGCCUGCUGGGGAGCUCCACUUGGAUUGCCUACAGUAUUUCACAUCCAGCAUAUCCCAAACUCAGUCUACCCUCAGACUCCCUAGAUCCUCCUCUGUCAGUCUCUUCCUUAGCAGGGCAACAAUCUACCCAGAGUGUGUCAAUCACCAAGACUUACAUUUUCUUUCUAAACACCUCUAUUUUCUCUAAUAUUUUCCUAAUUCAGUCCUUUUUAAUCUUAAUCAUUCAAUACAUAUUUUUGAGGACUUACUAUCAGUGGGGAGCUGGGCAGGUGAAACAGACAGUAAGAAAGUAAAUAAGAAAUUUGAGAUGAAGGUGACUGUUUUUGUUUGUUUUUUUUUUUCCUUUUUCUCCCCAAAGCCCCCCGGUACAUAGUUGUGUAUUCUUCGUUGUGGGUUCCUCUAGUUGUGGCAUGUGGGACGCUGCCUCAGCGUGGUCUGACGAGCAGUGCCAUGUCCGCGCCCAGGAUUCGAACCGACGAAACACUGGGCCGCCUGCAGCGGAGCGCGCGAACUUAACCACUCGGCCACGGGGCCAGCCCCGAAGGUGACUGUUUUGAAGACUAUUUUUAGGCUGCUUGAAGAGGUAACAUUUAACCUAAGACUUGAGGAGAAGAGCCAGCCUGUUAGGAUUCUGGAAAUAGCUUUCUGGACACGGGGUAUGACAAGGUUAGGAGGCAGAAGACCUUAACAGACUCCAGGAACAGAAAGGUGGCCACGUGGGUUGGUGCUUGGGAGAGCAGUCGGCAAAGAGAAAGGAUAGAUUGAAGGUAUAAGGUAAGCCAGCCCCUUGCUCCCCAACCUCAGAAUACACACUUGACUGACUGGCUGAGGUUCUCCAUCUUCUCCGUAAGAUGUGCUGACACCCUGGAUGCUCAUGGCGAGCUGGCUCCUUCUUAAGACACCUGCACACGCCUGUUCCCUCCCAGGAGAGCUGUGUGACUACC